Long non-coding RNA from Drosophila santomea, 1037 nucleotides. RefSeq lists it as uncharacterized. The record is from RefSeq and is a predicted model, not a curated record. NCBI's taxonomy places the organism in Eukaryota, Metazoa, Arthropoda, Insecta, Diptera, Drosophilidae. The transcript has 3 exons.
CCUUUUUCAGAACUUAGCUAGGUCUUUUGUCAAUCUUCGGUACACCUUUUUCAGAACUUAGCUAGGUCUUUUGUUGAUAUACUUGGCAUCGCAGAAAAAGGUUCCCAUACCAUUUCCCACCAGGCAGCUCUGAGCGCGUUUCCUCUGCUUCUCGCCCGACUUUUCUUCCAGUCGGGCGAUUUGACCACCCCUUGGACUCACAGUGUAGUGAGUCGGGAAUCAGUCCGGUUGAGUUCGGUUUGGAAAGGGCCUGUGCUCAAGAAUAUAUAAAAGUAACAAAUCGCUUAAAAGCAAAGCACAUUUAAACGUGUUUAAAUUCAAGAAAAUAAUACACUCAGAAAACUGAAGAACAAAUAAUUUGAGAAAGAACGUUCUUAAAAAUGUUAUCUGCCGUACUUAAAAUUUUUAAGACAACAGUACUUAGAAUAAGUACUAGUUGUACUCCAAUUUCACAAUUUAAAAGCGAAAUUAUUGAUACUCAUGGAAAACAAAGGUUUAUCUUUACUCAUUUAUGUAUGUAUAUUCCUUGAUCAUUUUAUGAGACCAAUUUUAAAAGAAUAUACACAAAAAAUAUAAGAAGUUUAAGCCAAAAUUUACGCGAUCGAAAAAUAUCCAGCCACUCGACUACUUACACUUGUUAAUAUUAAUUGCAUUUCUGUGUUGUUGAAGAAACAUAUAUGUUUUUUCGAUAAUUGCAACACGGCUCUCAUUUAGUGUCAAAAAGUUCCUGGAGUAACAAGUACAAAGUGAAUUAAGUGAAAUAAUUGAACAAUAAAGUGAAAAUGGUAAGUGAAAAUGUAGACACAUCAGAUAGUGAGCUUACAACGGCAUUAGAGGAAAUGGGCACGGUGUGUGAGUUCCCUUUUCUACAGGUUAAAAAUCGACUUCUGAGAAAUAUGCCCAGAAAAAGAGCAUGCAUUGGUUUCAAAAUAGGACGACCUGAAGCACAGUGUUUCCUUUUUACGAUAGGAAGAUUAAAAACCAUCUCAGCAGUGAAGAUGCCCAGGACUUUUUAUUUGUUAUUUUGUUUGACAGUG